Molecule: ribosomal RNA, 253 nt
Filed under: uncultured bacterium
Lineage: Bacteria
Description: partial 16S ribosomal RNA
Rfam family: Bacterial small subunit ribosomal RNA
Source: RNAcentral
UACGUAGGGUGCAAGCGUUGUCCGGAAUUAUUGGGCGUAAAGAGCUCGUAGGCGGCUUGUCGCGUCUGCUGUGAAAACCCGAGGCUCAACCUCGGGCCUGCAGUGGGUACGGGCAGGCUAGAGUGCGGUAGGGGAGAUUGGAAUUCCUGGUGUAGCGGUGGAAUGCGCAGAUAUCAGGAGGAACACCGGUGGCGAAGGCGGAUCUCUGGGCCAUUACUGACGCUGAGGAGCGAAAGCGUGGGGAGCGAACAGG